GUGCUCAUCGUUCCAGCAUCACGUUCCUACAGUUGGGAUGACGCAGAGAAGGUCAGCGUGGCCCCUGCACAGGAUGACACGCAAGUCGGUGAAGCGUUACAUAUUUUA
Molecule: small nuclear RNA, 108 nt
Organism: Otolemur garnettii (small-eared galago)
Lineage: Eukaryota; Metazoa; Chordata; Mammalia; Primates; Galagidae
Source: Ensembl